RNAcentral lists this unclassified non-coding RNA (338 nucleotides) under uncultured Mortierella. RNAcentral describes it as "sequence contains ITS2". Lineage: Eukaryota; Fungi; Mortierellomycota; Mortierellomycetes; Mortierellales; Mortierellaceae. The record is from RNAcentral.
AACGCAUAUUGCGCUCUUUGGUAUUCCGAAGAGCAUGCUUGUUUGAGUAUCAGUAAACACCUCAAAGCUUUUGAUUUUUUUUAAAAGUUUUGGACUUGAGCAAUCCCAACACCAAUCUUUUUCAGAUCGGCGGCGGGUUGCUUGAAAUGCAGGUGCAGCUGGACAUUCUCCUGAGCUAAAAGCAUAUUUAUUUAGUCCUCGUCAAACAGGAUUAUUACUUUUGCUGCAGCUAACAUAAAGGAUAAUUGUCCUCUUUGCUGACUGAUGCAGGAUUUUACGACACUUUAUGUGUUGUUCAACUCGAUCUCAAAUCAAGUAAGACUACCCGCUGAACUUAA